Schistosoma haematobium is the source of this 48-nucleotide non-coding RNA. The record is from Rfam. NCBI's taxonomy places the organism in Eukaryota, Metazoa, Platyhelminthes, Trematoda, Strigeidida, Schistosomatidae.
AUCCAGCUGACGAGUCACAAAUAGGACGGAACGCGUGUCAAACUGGAU